Molecule: small nucleolar RNA, 143 nt
Filed under: Dasypus novemcinctus (nine-banded armadillo)
Lineage: Eukaryota; Metazoa; Chordata; Mammalia; Cingulata; Dasypodidae
Description: Small nucleolar RNA SNORA64/SNORA10 family (ENSDNOG00000029380.1)
Rfam family: Small nucleolar RNA SNORA64/SNORA10 family
About the family: This family belongs to the H/ACA class of small nucleolar RNAs (snoRNAs) which act as guides in the the modification of uridines to pseudouridines. This family includes the human snoRNAs U64 and ACA10 and mouse MBI-29.
Source: RNAcentral
AUUCUCUCAGCUCUGCAAAGUUAUACCUGCAAGGUUAGACCUAACAUGUGUGCCUUCCAUAAUGGGAAAAGAGAGUAAAGAUCUCCUGGGGACCUCAGAUGGGCCUUGCUGUAGCCUCUCUUACUCCAACAGGCAUGUCACGU